Non-coding RNA from Pangasianodon gigas (Mekong giant catfish), 114 nucleotides. The record is from the annotation of a GenBank genome assembly. Lineage: Eukaryota; Metazoa; Chordata; Actinopteri; Siluriformes; Pangasiidae.
AUGGAGGACCACAAAAUGGUACAAGUUACCGUUUAACACUCAUUUGCAAAUCUGAGGUAAAGAUGACUGACGCUAAGCGAGUGAGCUGAGGUAAAGAAGACUGACGCUAAGCGA